RNAcentral lists this ribosomal RNA (587 nucleotides) under uncultured bacterium. RNAcentral describes it as "bacterial SSU rRNA". It matches the Rfam family "Bacterial small subunit ribosomal RNA", at positions 338 to 916 of the family's 1533-position model. The record is from RNAcentral.
CCUACGGGAGGCAGCAGUGGGGAAUAUUGGACAAUGGGCGCAGGCCUGAUCCAGCCAUGCCGCGUGUGUGAAGAAGGCCUUCGGGUUGUAAAGCACUUUUAUCCGGAAAGAAAAGCUUUGGGUUAAUACCCUGAAGUCAUGACGGUACCGGAAGAAUAAGCACCGGCUAACUUCGUGCCAGCAGCCGCGGUAAUACGAAGGGUGCAAGCGUUACUCGGAAUUACUGGGCGUAAAGCGUGCGUAGGUGGUUUGUUAAGUCUGAUGUGAAAGCCCUAGGCUCAACCUGGGAAUUGCAUUGGAUACUGGCAGGCUAGAGUGCGGUAGAGGAUAGUGGAAUUCCCGGUGUAGCAGUGAAAUGCGUAGAGAUCGGGAGGAACAUCUGUGGCGAAGGCGACUAUCUGGGCCAGCACUGACACUGAGGCACGAAAGCGUGGGGAGCAAACAGGAUUAGAUACCCUGGUAGUCCACGCCCUAAACGAUGCGAACUGGAUGUUGGGUGCAACUAGGCACUCAGUAUCGAAGCUAACGCGUUAAGUUCGCCGCCUGGGGAGUACGGUCGCAAGACUGAAACUCAAAUGAAUUGACGG